This is a long non-coding RNA of Gossypium arboreum, 616 nucleotides long. RefSeq lists it as uncharacterized. The record is from RefSeq and is a predicted model, not a curated record. NCBI's taxonomy places the organism in Eukaryota, Viridiplantae, Streptophyta, Magnoliopsida, Malvales, Malvaceae. The transcript has 2 exons.
AUCAAAUCACAAAUUUCGAAAUGUUUGAAAACUAAAGUGCAAUUUAACUCAAACGUAUAAAGUGAGUUAGGAUUGAGUACAGGUGUGUGAAUUUUAAAUGGGAGAAAGGAUGAGAGAAAACCGCUAUCAGCUCUCCUUCAUGCUCCAGUCGGGGAGCUCUCUCUUCAUUUUUCUUCUUCUUGCAUUUCCUUCAAUUUUAAAAAAAAAAAAUCUCAACAUCCACUUUGAGUUUUUGUUUAAAUUACUGAAAACUACUACCUACACUCAUUUCCACCUUCAAAUCUCCAUUUUUUAUUAAGGGUUUUUAUGGUUCCUAAGAGAGAAAAUAGAAGCUAGUAAGAAAGCUUCAAAAAGAAAAUGUGAAGAUGAGGCAUGGUAUUCCAAGCUAUUUUGAAGUUGGAUUCAAGUGGAUGGAAGCUUGGAUUUAAGUAGAAAAGCAUCCAAGAGGUAAAUACCUUUGGAUUUAUUAUCUUGAAAUAAAUGGUUAAAUAAAUUAUGAGUUAAACGUGGAAAAAUAUGGUUUAAUAUGUUGUGAUAAAUGGGAAAGAAAAUGGUAACUUUAAUGACUUUGGCUUAAUUUGUAUAAAAAUGAAAUGGAUAUUAUAUUUUGAGAAAA